AGUGAACGCUGGCGGUAGGCCUAACACAUGCAAGUCGAACGGCAGCACAGUAAGAGCUUGCUCUUACGGGUGGCGAGUGGCGGACGGGUGAGGAAUACAUCGGAAUCUACUUUUUCGUGGGGGAUAACGUAGGUAAACUUACGCUAAUACCGCAUACGACCUACGGGUGAAAGCAGGGGAUCCUCGGACCUUGCGCGAUUGAAUGAGCCGAUGUCGGAUUAGCUAGUUGGCGGGGUAAAGGCCCACCAAGGCGACGAUCCGUAGCUGGUCUGAGAGGAUGAUAAGCCACACUGGAACUGAGACACGGUCCAGACUCCUACGGGAGGCAGCAGUGGGGAAUAUUGGACAAAGGGCGCAAGCCUGAUCCAGCCAUACCGCGUGGGUGAAGAAGGCCUUCGGGUUGUAAAGACCUUUUGUUGGGAAAGAAAAGCAGCAGGUUAAUACCCCGCUGUUCUGACGGUACCCAAAGAAUAAGCACCGGCUAACUUCGUG
This 492-nucleotide ribosomal RNA is filed under the name uncultured bacterium. RNAcentral's name for it is "partial 16S ribosomal RNA". It matches the Rfam family "Bacterial small subunit ribosomal RNA", at positions 29 to 507 of the family's 1533-position model. The record is from RNAcentral.